RNAcentral lists this ribosomal RNA (908 nucleotides) under Longicollum sp. (in: thorny-headed worms). Its description in RNAcentral is "16S ribosomal RNA". The stretch from base 607 to 908 matches the Rfam family "Bacterial large subunit ribosomal RNA", at positions 2048 to 2712 of the family's 2925-position model. Lineage: Eukaryota; Metazoa; Acanthocephala; Palaeacanthocephala; Echinorhynchida; Pomphorhynchidae. The record is from RNAcentral.
AGUAGGAUGAAAAGGAGGUCUAUAAGGGAUGCUGAUAAUAGAAGUCGUGAGAGGGUUUGAGGACAAAGGGAGUACCUUUAGUAUAAGGGGGGUAGGAGUGUUUAUACUAGUAUUAAACCCCAAACCCCAAGAUACUAGCUUUUAUGACCUUAAAAAUAAGGGCAUUAAAAAUUAGGGUAGUGAAAUUCUUUCGAUUGGGGUAUAAGUGGGUUAUAGUUUGAGGUAAGCUUGAUGCGGGUCUUUAAAAUGGUGGCUAGUUUAAAUGUUUUAAAGUAUUAAAAUGUUAUAAUAAAUUAGGGUCCAAUAUAAUUUUAUUAGUAGAGAUCCGGGGUUGGAGUUAAUAGGCUCUAUUUGACGAUCUACCCAUGAGUAAUAAGGAGGUUUAAGGGUGGUUACUAUAAUCGCUAUAUUUUAACUCGUUCCUUUGGCAAAUGUUUAUUAAAAACAUUUCUUUAUACAGUAUAAAGUAUCCCCUGCCCGCUGAGAAUUUGAAGGGCCGUAGUAAGUUGACUAUGCUAAGGUAGCAUAAUAAUUAGGUUAUUGAUUGUAAUCUGGUAUGAAUGGGGGCAUGUUCAAGGGGGGUGAUUGUAGCGAAGUGAAAUUGCUUUAAGGUGAAAAUGCCUUAAGUGGAUAUAAGACGGAAAGACCCCGGAAGCUUAAUAAAGGUGUUUAUUUAGUUGGGGCAACGGGUGAUAGUUUAAGUGUCACUAUAGAAAGUUACUCCGGGGAUAACAGGGCUAUCUAGCUAAUAGCUAGGUUUGCUACCUCGAUGUUGGAUCACCCUUAGGAUAGUCUGUUCGACUUUAGGAGGGUACGUGAUCUGAGUUUAGAUCGGUGUAAGCCAGAUCGGUUCUUAUCUAUAAAGAUUUCCUUGUAGUACGAGAGGGGGCAGGGAGGCUAAUAAUUAG